Molecule: transfer RNA, 68 nt
Filed under: Dipodomys ordii (Ord's kangaroo rat)
Lineage: Eukaryota; Metazoa; Chordata; Mammalia; Rodentia; Heteromyidae
Rfam family: tRNA
About the family: Transfer RNA (tRNA) molecules are approximately 80 nucleotides in length. Their secondary structure includes four short double-helical elements and three loops (D, anti-codon, and T loops).
Source: Rfam by way of RNAcentral
GGUGGCUCAGUGGUAGAGCACUUGUCUUGCAUGCAUGAGGUGGCCCUGGGUUCAAUUCCUCAGCACCA